ACUUCGGUAGUGCAACCAGUAGCAUACCAGAUCGGAUAUCUGUAAGUGCAGGUUCGAGUCCCGCCUGAGGAA
This 72-nucleotide transfer RNA is filed under the name Dictyocaulus viviparus (bovine lungworm). It matches the Rfam family "tRNA". Rfam says of the family: Transfer RNA (tRNA) molecules are approximately 80 nucleotides in length. Their secondary structure includes four short double-helical elements and three loops (D, anti-codon, and T loops). Lineage: Eukaryota; Metazoa; Nematoda; Chromadorea; Rhabditida; Metastrongylidae. The record is from Rfam by way of RNAcentral.